CAGCCGCCGCGGGAAUACGUAGGUGGCAAGCGUUGUCCGGAAUUAUUGGGCGUAAAGCGCGCGCAGGCGGAUCAGUUGGUCUGUCUUAAAAGUUCGGGGCUUAACCCCGUGAGGGGAUGGAAACUGCUGAUCUAGAGUAUCGGAGAGGAAAGUGGAAUUCCUAGUGCAGCGGCGAAAUGCGUAGAUAUUAGGAAGAACACCAGUGGCGAAGGCGACUUUCUGGACGAAAACUGACGCUGAGGCGCGAAAGCCAGGGGAGCGAACGGGAUUAGAGACCCGCGUAGUCCCUGUCUCUUAUACA
RNAcentral lists this ribosomal RNA (301 nucleotides) under uncultured bacterium. RNAcentral's name for it is "partial 16S ribosomal RNA". It matches the Rfam family "Bacterial small subunit ribosomal RNA", at positions 509 to 809 of the family's 1533-position model. The record is from RNAcentral.